CUUCUAAGUUACUGAAAAGCUUAUAACACUUGAAGCUGAGAGUAUAUUUGUAUGAGUACUUCUUUUUUCACAGUAGAUGUGAGUUCAAUACAACUUCUAUUGUAGCUUUUCACUUUCCUUUCCUGCUCCUCUAAAGUAAAAAGGGUAGCUCGGUGCACUAAGCUCCCGCUAUGAGCAAAGUCCGGAGAAUGGUCGGACCACAAGGGUCUAUUAUAUGCAGCCUUACCUUACAUUUAUGCAAGAGAUUAUUUCCACAGCUCGAACUCAUGACCUCCUGGUCACAUUACAGUAAUUUUAUCAGUUACGCCAAGGCUCCCUUCUUCCCGCACCUUUAAUGUAAUAGGAAUUUUUUUUUAAAAAUUUGAAAGUAUUAGGCAUGGGAUAACAGUUGUCUUUUUUCACUUAAAUAAAUGUAGGAUAUAAUAUAAGAAGAGGAAAGUAAGCAGAGAACCGAGUCAGUGUUACCUGCUGUGGUGACUUUUAAGUCUUGAAGUUUGUUAAUGCCUCCCAGCUCACAUACAUAUAAAGACUCAUAAGAUGGCAAAUCAUAUAUAGCUUUUCUAUCUCUUUCAAUGGCGCCAAUCAAGCUAGCUCUAACAUGAAACCAUCCCAACUCAUGUAUAGAAUCUCUCCUUGUACUCAUCAUUACACUUCACUUAUGGCUAACUUUUUCAGUAACUUCAUCUUCAUCUACACCUCAAAACAUACCAUAAAAGUAUCCUUAACCUUAAGCAAAAUCCUUCCAUUCUUGAACUAAUUCCAACAUUUACAAGUCAUAUUGUGGUAGGAUGAAAAAUAUGAUUCCUGCUUGUUUUAGUAUUCCUCAUUCUGGUCUUAACACUACUACUAAUACUACUUCACAAGUGCCUCAAAACCUUGUUACAUGUAUUUACCAAGCUCAGAUUUGUGACUCACCACUUUAUCUUACACUCACUUGGUCCAAGAACAUAUUUUCUCAUUCUUUAUUAAUCCAUGCACCUGAUCUUUUCUCCAUCACCAUUCCUCUUCACCAAUCUUCCUUUGCAUUAUUCAAAGC
Molecule: long non-coding RNA, 1036 nt
Filed under: Nicotiana benthamiana
Lineage: Eukaryota; Viridiplantae; Streptophyta; Magnoliopsida; Solanales; Solanaceae
Description: long non-coding RNA (NBEN_LNC005730)
Source: RNAcentral